RNAcentral lists this ribosomal RNA (466 nucleotides) under uncultured bacterium. RNAcentral's name for it is "partial 16S ribosomal RNA". It matches the Rfam family "Bacterial small subunit ribosomal RNA", at positions 28 to 507 of the family's 1533-position model. The record is from RNAcentral.
GAUGAACGCUGGCGGCGUGCUUAACACAUGCAAGUCGAACGGAAAGGCCCAAGCUUGCUUGGGUACUCGAGUGGCGAACGGGUGAGUAACACGUGGGUGAUCUGCCCUGCACUUCGGGAUAAGCCUGGGAAACUGGGUCUAAUACCGGAUAGGACCACAUUUUGGAUGGUGUGGUGGAAAGUUUUUCGGUGUGGGAUGAGCUCGCGGCCUAUCAGCUUGUUGGUGGGGUAAUGGCCUACCAAGGCGUCGACGGGUAGCCGGCCUGAGAGGGUGUACGGCCACAUUGGGACUGAGAUACGGCCCAGACUCCUACGGGAGGCAGCAGUGGGGAAGAUUGCACAAUGGGCGCAAGCCUGAUGCAGCGACGCCGCGUGGGGGAUGACGGCCUUCGGGUUGUAAACUCCGUUCGCUAGGGACGAAGCGUUAUGUGACGGUACCUGGAGAAGAAGCACCGGCUAACUACGUG